CUGAGUUGAUUAUGAGAAAGAGGGUUGAAGUCAACAAAAAAUCAACGAACGUGACUAUGAAGAAGAGAAUUUGGAGAACCUUAACCUUACCAUGCCUGCUUCUGUUCUUCCUUCUUUUGGCGUUUGAGAUCAACUUUUCCUCCUUUCUGAGCUUCAACUGGCCACCCAUGAAAACUAGUCCAGUUUGGAUAGUAACAGAAACCGAACGAGAUAUGAUUGAAUUAGAAUUGAACACAAGCAAACAUGGCACAGCGCUGAUGAAGGAAAUGGCUCCUCCACCGAGAGAAAUCACCUGCGACCGUUCCCAUUAUGCUUAUGACAUCUGCACCACCAACGUGGCAACAACCCUGAACCCCACCACCUCCACUUUCUUCAUCCAACGUCCCACCACAGUCGAUCCAAAUCAAACGGCCACAAAAAUCCGUCCUUAUCCUAGAAAAUUCGAUAGUCCUGUAAUGUCAAGGAUCAAGGAGUUGACCAUCACCGCAGGCAGACCAAUCCCAUCGUGCCGCGUCAAGCACGAAGCCCCUGCGUUGGUAUUCAGUGCGGGAGGGUACACGGGAAACUUCUUCCACGACUUCAAUGACGGGUUCAUCCCUCUAUUUAUCACCCUCAAUUCUUUCUUCCAUGAUAAAGACGUGGUGCUUGUGAUUUCUAAGGCUCGUGAUUGGUGGGUCAACAAGUAUGCAACUUUACUUCGUCAAUUUAGCAAGCACCC
RNAcentral lists this small RNA (718 nucleotides) under Vigna angularis var. angularis. RNAcentral's name for it is "Non-protein coding transcript". Lineage: Eukaryota; Viridiplantae; Streptophyta; Magnoliopsida; Fabales; Fabaceae. The record is from RNAcentral.